CCUUGCCUCCGCCCAUCACACACGGCCUUGUGCGGGUCACGUGACGGUCAGGUGACCCUUGACCGGACGUGACCCGGCCCAUCGUGGGACUCUCGGCUCACCCCCAACUUGCAUCUCACACAUCUCGUCGCAUCGCGCCGUAUCGUUCGUUAUACGUAAUUGGCUGCAUUAGCUACGUACCUACUUGCUUCGUGGGCCGCUCAUGCUCCGCUCCUCGACACUUCGCUCCCUCCGCUUAAAUCCGAAGCAAGUCGCCCGGACGCCGCUCCGUGUCGCCGCGGCGCCGCUCGCGCAGCCGCAGUCCGCGCGGCUCGCCCGUCUACGACCGCUACAGGAGGUCGAACAGCCGCGACUAGAGAUGGCGCCGCCGACAGCCGCGACUAGCGGUGGCGCCGCAGACGGCGGUGUAGCCGCCCGCCAGCGUCGGCCCGCCCCGCCGGCACCUCCUCCAGGCUCUGCCCUCUCCGUCCUCCUGCCCCCUCGUGCAGCGUUCGUGGUAACCGCGCAUAACGUGGUGUUCAUACCCCCCCACCCCCCCCCCCCCACCCCCACCCCACCCCCGCUCCCCCGAGAAAGGCGGCGCUGGUUUCGUGUCUUGCAUACCUGCGAUGUCUCGAAUUUAAUUGUGCGCGGCAUGUGUUUGGUUGUGUGAGGGCAGGUGAAGAUGUAGCCUUGGUGGCAUUCCAUUCCAUAUGUAUUUCGAGUGCGCAGCGAAAAUAAACGCUUUUCGAAUUAAU
Molecule: long non-coding RNA, 737 nt
Organism: Pollicipes pollicipes
Lineage: Eukaryota; Metazoa; Arthropoda; Thecostraca; Pollicipedomorpha; Pollicipedidae
Exons: 3
Source: RefSeq, a predicted model, not a curated record